GAACCCGGAGGCGGAGGUUGUAGUGAGCCGAGAUCAUGCCACUGCAUUCCAGCCUGGGGGACAGAGCAAGAUUCCGUAUCAGAAACAAACAAACAGAAAAACCAACAACAAAAAAAACCAAAAAACAAAAAUAACACAUGCUUAUCCUUACUAUAAACAGGAAAACCAUCCAAAGAUGUAUACAGAGAAAGUAAUCGCCAUUCCCACCCCAACUCCCAGGUUCACACUACUCAUCUAGAGUAAAAGUCCUCAUGAAUUCACUGCAAGACAAGAACACAGGAAAGCAACUACCACACAGAAGAGAUGUGGACCCCAAAACGUUGGUCUCUUACAUC
This 335-nucleotide long non-coding RNA is filed under the name Homo sapiens (human). Its description in RNAcentral is "HSALNT0154045". Lineage: Eukaryota; Metazoa; Chordata; Mammalia; Primates; Hominidae. The record is from RNAcentral.